This 468-nucleotide ribosomal RNA is filed under the name uncultured bacterium. RNAcentral's name for it is "partial 16S ribosomal RNA". It matches the Rfam family "Bacterial small subunit ribosomal RNA", at positions 28 to 507 of the family's 1533-position model. The record is from RNAcentral.
GACGAACGCUGGCGGCGUGCUUAACACAUGCAAGUCGAACGGAAAGGCCCUGCUUUUGUGGGGUGCUCGAGUGGCGAACGGGUGAGUAACACGUGAGUAACCUGCCCUUGACUUUGGGAUAACUUCAGGAAACUGGGGCUAAUACCGGAUAGGAGCUCCUGCUGCAUGGUGGGGGUUGGAAAGUUUCGGCGGUUGGGGAUGGACUCGCGGCUUAUCAACUUGUUGGUGGGGUAGUGGCUUACCAAGGCUUUGACGGGUAGCCGGCCUGAGAGGGUGAACGGCCACAUUGGGACUGAGAUACGGCCCAGACUCCUACGGGAGGCAGCAGUGGGGAAUAUUGCACAAUGGGCGGAAGCCUGAUGCAGCAACGCCGCGUGCGGGAUGACGGCCUUCGGGUUGUAAACCGCUUUCGCCUGUGACGAAGCGUGAGUGACGGUAAUGGGUAAAGAAGCACCGGCUAACUACGUG